GACGAACGCUGGCGGCGUGCUUAACACAUGCAAGUCGAACGGAAAGGCCCUGCUUUUGUGGGGUGCUCGAGUGGCGAACGGGUGAGUAACACGUGAGUAACCUGCCCUUGACUUUGGGAUAACUUCAGGAAACUGGGGCGAAUACCGGAUAGGAGCUCCUGCUGCAUGGUGGGGGUUGGAAAGUUUCGGCGGUUGGGGAUGGACUCGCGGCUCAGCAGCUUGUUGGUGGGGUAGUGGCUUACCAAGGCUUUGACGGGUAGCCGGCCUGAGAGGGUGACCGGCCACAUUGGGACUGAGAUACGGCCCAGACUCCUACGGGAGGCAGCAGUGGGGAAUAUUGCACAAUGGGCGGAAGCCUGAUGCAGCAACGCCGCGUGCGGGAUGACGGCCUUCGGGUUGUAAACCGCUUUCGCCUGUGACGAAGCGUGAGUGACGGUAAUGGGUAAAGAAGCACCGGCUAACUACGUG
This 468-nucleotide ribosomal RNA is filed under the name uncultured bacterium. RNAcentral describes it as "partial 16S ribosomal RNA". It matches the Rfam family "Bacterial small subunit ribosomal RNA", at positions 28 to 507 of the family's 1533-position model. The record is from RNAcentral.